This 377-nucleotide ribosomal RNA is filed under the name uncultured Acidobacteriota bacterium. Its description in RNAcentral is "bacterial SSU rRNA". It matches the Rfam family "Bacterial small subunit ribosomal RNA", at positions 521 to 896 of the family's 1533-position model. Lineage: Bacteria; Pseudomonadati; Acidobacteriota. The record is from RNAcentral.
UAAUACGGAGGGGGCCAGCGUUGUUCGGAAUUAUUGGGCGUAAAGGGCGCGCAGGCGGUCGCGCAAGUCGGUUGUGAAAUCCCCUGGCUUACCCAGGGAACUGCAUCCGAUACUGCGUGACUUGAGUCCGGGAGAGGAGAGUGGAAUUCCCAGUGUAGCGGUGGAAUGCGUAGACAUUGGGAGGAACACCAGUGGCGAAGGCGGCUCUCUGGACCGGUUCUGACGCUGAGGCGCGAAAGCUAGGGGAGCAAACAGGAUUAGAUACCCUGGUAGUCUUAGCUGUAAACGAUGGGCACUUGGUGUUGCGGGUGUUGACCCCUGCAGUGCCGGAGCUAACGCGAUAAGUGCCCCGCCUGGGGAGUACGGUCGCAAGGCUG